This is a small nuclear RNA of Suncus etruscus (white-toothed pygmy shrew), 110 nucleotides long. Lineage: Eukaryota; Metazoa; Chordata; Mammalia; Eulipotyphla; Soricidae. The record is from RefSeq and is a predicted model, not a curated record.
GUGCUCACUUCAGCAGCACAUAUACUAAAAAUAUUGGAAUGAUACAGAGAAGAUUAGCAUGGCCCCUGUGCAAGGAUGACAUGAAAAUUUGUGAAGCGUUCCAUAUUUAA